Molecule: long non-coding RNA, 2372 nt
Filed under: Mus musculus (house mouse)
Lineage: Eukaryota; Metazoa; Chordata; Mammalia; Rodentia; Muridae
Description: long non-coding RNA chr6:110853986-110856358
Source: RNAcentral
UAUUGGAGUGGUAGACACAACAGAAAAUUCUAAGUUAAAACUAACCUUCUGGAAAGUGCUAGCAUUCUCCAAAAGUUUACAGAAACAACUCCAAGAUCCUCUCAAAUUUCAGGGAAGUAGGAAAUGGGCAUCUUAUUCCUAGGCAUUAAAGUCAGAGCUAAGUGUGUUGACAGAUAGUUAUAAGAGCCAAAUAUAAACAAAUCAUUUCUCUGAAGCAUAUUCUGUUGUUGUUUGUUUGUCUUUGGUAAAUCAACAAGUUUAAUCCAGUUGCUUGUUGGUGAAAUUUAUGGGGGGAACAGUUAGGAUGGGAUCAUUUACAUUCUAGGUGUGUGCAUAGCAGUGUGUUUUAAAUAGAGUGGUCAGUUGAAGUAGAUACUGAAGCCUCCUGUCUUUCUGUAAUACAUCUCUUUAAAUUAUUGUAUCUACACUGAUACAUUGCUCUGUUGGAUUUCUGUACUCACAAAAUGAAAUUAAAAGAAGACCUGUAGAGACUAGGGAACUAACUAUCCAGGGCAGCAUUUUUAAAAUUAGCUCAAGAAGAAAAGUGAAUCCCUCACAUUUUCCCAAGACAAAUCCCUCCCGUCUGUCAUAUGCUGUGGCUCACCUAAUAGAAUAUCUUAGAUGACUAAGUAUAUUUUAAUGAGCCCAGAAAUUAAAAUCAUCUCCUUAUUACUUGGAAAUACAAAGAUGUCACCAGCAUCUCAUGUCCUUGGGUAAUACUCUAUGUCUGAUUUAAUAGCUCACUGAGGGCCUGGCUUGCUUUAGAGCAGCAGAGAUAGCAUUUUAAUGGAGAAAGAACCAAGAAUAAGAAGAAUGUGUCUCACAUCAACCCUGUCAAAUUUUCCUCAGCCUGGUUAGCUUCAAUUAAUUUAAUUUUCAUAUAGCAAAGCUCAAAAUAAUAUUAUUCUCUUAUAUGCCAUCAAGUUUUAUGUAAUUCAUAUGGUUGUAUCAUACCUCAUGUAAUCUACUUUCUCCUUUGUUUAAAAUUCAGAAGGUCUUCCUAUUUAAAUUAUCAAAAUUCAUUUGUUUUCUCAAACAAAAUUAUGCCAACCUAUAUGUAAAGGGGAUGGCAACUUUAUUUAAAAUUGGUACUUAAUUAAAUGUAGACAUGUAGUUUGGUACUCACCUUUCAUUUUUGGUAUGUUUAGAAGAGAUGGCAAGCAUGUCCAACUUUUUGACAUUGACACACAAUUUCAAAUGAUGUUUAUGCUAAAGAAUUGCACAGGUGAGUACUACAAAAUCCCCUUAUAAUAUUUUAAGUAAGCUUAGGGUUUUGUAUAGGGUUGCAUUCAUAGCUAUCAUAUAGUGCAUGUGUUUCACACUAGAGUCUUCUGUAAGAGCUUCAAAUAUGGCAAAUGUGCAACACUUGGAAAGUAUAAUAUGUUAUUAGUUAAUUAUUCUAAAUCUGUUAGAAAUUGAGUAAAACUCUGAGGGCUAAAAGAAAGAUUGUCCUCAACCUAAGGAGUUGAGUGGCUGACAUAAUAAGGACCAAAUUGAGUAUGUUUAGUCCCUGAGCCAAAGUACCUACAAAUAAUUUAAAAGAGGGAGUUCAUUGCUUUGUUUUUUGGUUUGACAGGGUUUGGUUCAUGUCCAUUUUCCUGAGUGUUUCUUAAACUACUGUGACACAGAACACCCUGUAUGUGGAGAAGAUAUCUCUUUAUGUCAUAGAGAAUAACAAGCAGAAUAAGUGGAAUACAGGAAGGGAGGUAGGGCAAGAUAUAGUCAACAUUCUCUUAAUAACUCACUUCCUUUAGCUACGCUAAUACCCUACUUUUUAUCCUAAUCCAGUGGUGCUAUUAUAUUACAAGAUUAACUCAUUUACCAGGACUCCUCUCAGUAACUGAUUGUUUAUAUGCUCCACAUGUGUUCAAAGGGUGUGCCUGGCUCUUUGUACCCUCAGUCACUUGUACCUGUGUUUGACAGGGUCCUGUGAUUUUUGUCCGUACUUAGAUUUACUCUGUGUUGCAUUAGCUUGGCAUUCUCUUCAUAAAGAACAGCUAGCUUCAGAGUGUGGUGUUUCAGAGUUGACCCCCUUCUCGUGGUGUUCCUCCCUUAGAUAAAGAGCCAAGACCAGUCAGUUCUUUCUUACCAAGAUUCAGGAGUGAUGGUGACGUCGAUGGUACAGAUUAUGAAUAUGCUUUGCUGAUUGCUUCUUUGGUCUUUUCUACCUCUUUAAUAAGAAUAAGUGUGGUUGCAAGUUUAAACAAAAAUAUGCCCAAGUGUGAUGAUGUCAAUACUCUGUUUCCAAUGUUGAUCAGUUAACCUGUGCUGUGGAAAUAUGAAUUAGGAAAAUUUUAUUUGUCCUAAAAGAAGCUUUGGGCAUCUGAUGUAUUACACAUAGCCUAACACUAAAAUAAGAGUUUUUAUUUAUU